RNAcentral lists this unclassified non-coding RNA (222 nucleotides) under Hevea brasiliensis (rubber tree). The record is from RNAcentral. Lineage: Eukaryota; Viridiplantae; Streptophyta; Magnoliopsida; Malpighiales; Euphorbiaceae.
CUGGUUGGCAUUUUAAGUGGCAAUAUGUUGCAAAGAAAUUGAAGCAUUCCCAUAUAAGCUUAUGUGAGCUUUGGAGUGUCAAACGAGCAUUCUGCAACGCGUGCUUCUUCACUUUUAGACUUUGGAAAUUGAUGAUGGUUGGUUCUGUCUUUUUGAAAGAUAACAGAGACGAGCAAUUGUGGAUUGGCCUCUCAUGUGCCAGGGCCAUUGCCUAUCUGGUGG